This 274-nucleotide ribosomal RNA is filed under the name uncultured bacterium. Its description in RNAcentral is "partial 16S ribosomal RNA". It matches the Rfam family "Bacterial small subunit ribosomal RNA", at positions 523 to 796 of the family's 1533-position model. The record is from RNAcentral.
AUACGGAGGGUGCAAGCGUUAAUCGGAAUUACUGGGCGUAAAGCGCGCGUAGGCGGUUUAGUCAGUCAGAUGUGAAAGCCCCGGGCUCAACCUGGGAACUGCAUUUGAUACUGCUGAACUAGAGUAUGGUAGAGGGAAGUGGAAUUCCGGGUGUAGCGGUGAAAUGCGUAGAUAUCCGGAGGAACACCAGUGGCGAAGGCGACUUCCUGGACCAAUACUGACGCUGAGGUGCGAAAGCGUGGGUAGCGAACGGGAUUAGAAACCCCAGUAGUCC